Molecule: long non-coding RNA, 409 nt
Filed under: Carassius auratus (goldfish)
Lineage: Eukaryota; Metazoa; Chordata; Actinopteri; Cypriniformes; Cyprinidae
Description: lncRNA (ENSCARG00000015939.1)
Source: RNAcentral
CACAGUGUGUGUUUGCAGGGUGUUGUUGGUGAUGCUGGUGAGCGAGGGCCGCCCGGACCAGACGGAAACCAGGGUCCUGUCGGAGGAAGCGGCAGCAGUGGAUUCCCAGGCUUGAGAGGCGAUCCGGGGCCCGAGGGACCCCGCGGCUUUCCUGGCAUUGUGGGACCUCAGGUAACGUCCCGUCAGGUCACGCCUCAGAGUUUCUGUAAGCUGAUUGGCUGGACAAUGAAGAUCUUGUUCUCUCAUUGGCAGGGCCUGACUGGAGGGGCGGGGCCUCCUGGAAUGAAAGGCUGAACCUGGACUGAGGGGUGACCCGGGAGAGACUGGAUAUCAGGGCGACAAGGUGAGCGUCAGGAGGAAACCGUAUGCUUGGUUUCUGUCUGUCUGUUAAAGCUCUUAUUGUAUUCCC